Molecule: ribosomal RNA, 256 nt
Filed under: uncultured bacterium
Lineage: Bacteria
Description: partial 16S ribosomal RNA
Rfam family: Bacterial small subunit ribosomal RNA
Source: RNAcentral
UACGUAGGGUGCGAGCGUUUAAUCGGAAUUACUGGGCGUAAAGCGUGCGCAGGCGGCUUCGCAAGUCAGGCGUGAAAUCCCCCGGGCUUAACCUGGGAAUGGCGUCUGAAACUACGGAGCUGGAGUGUGGCAGAGGGAGGUAGAAUUCCACGUGUAGCGGUGAAAUGCGUAGAUAUGACAUAGAACACCAAUUGCGAAGGCAGCUCGCUACACGAAUAUUGACUCUGAGGCACGGAAAGCGUGGGGAUCAAACAGG